RNAcentral lists this ribosomal RNA (253 nucleotides) under uncultured Eubacteriales bacterium. RNAcentral describes it as "uncultured Clostridiales bacterium partial 16S ribosomal RNA". It matches the Rfam family "Bacterial small subunit ribosomal RNA", at positions 524 to 776 of the family's 1533-position model. The record is from RNAcentral. Lineage: Bacteria; Bacillati; Bacillota; Clostridia; Eubacteriales.
UACGGAGGAUGCGAGCGUUAUCCGGAGUUACUGGGUGUAAAGGGAGCGUAGACGGCAGCGCAAGUCUGGAGUGAAAUCCCAUGGCUUAACCAUGGAACUGCUUUGGAAACUGUGCAGCUGGAGUGCAGGAGAGGUAAGCGGAAUUCCUAGUGUAGCGGUGAAAUGCGUAGAUAUUAGGAGGAACACCAGAGGCGAAGGCGGCUAACUGGACUGUAACUGACGCUGAGGCACGAAAGUGUGGGGAGCAAACAGG